UCGCGAAAACUUCACAAUGGGGAAACCCCGAUGAGGGAAUUCCAAGUGCCAGCACAUUGUGUUGGCUGUUCUCUGGUCUAAAAAACCGGAGAAGUAAGGGCCGGGUAAGACGGGUGCCAGCCGCCGCGGUAAUACCCGCGGCCCAAGUGGUGGUCGAUAUUAUUGAGCCUAAAACGUCCGUAGCCGGUCUUGUAAAUCCUUGGGUAAAUCGACCAGCUCAACUGUUCGAAGUCCGGGGAGACUGCAAGACUUGGGAUCGGGAGAGGUGAGAGGUACUUCUGGGGUAGGGGUAAAAUCCUGUAAUCCUAGAAGGACCACCGGUGGCGAAGGCGUCUCACUAGAACCGAAUCCGACGGUGAGGGACGAAGCCCUGGGGCGCAAACCGGGAUUAGAAACCCGAGU
RNAcentral lists this ribosomal RNA (402 nucleotides) under uncultured bacterium. RNAcentral's name for it is "bacterial SSU rRNA". It matches the Rfam family "Archaeal small subunit ribosomal RNA", at positions 339 to 742 of the family's 1478-position model. The record is from RNAcentral.